This 279-nucleotide microRNA precursor is filed under the name Heliconius melpomene (postman butterfly). Its description in RNAcentral is "Hme-Mir-12_pre stem-loop". The record is from RNAcentral. Lineage: Eukaryota; Metazoa; Arthropoda; Insecta; Lepidoptera; Nymphalidae.
UGAGUAUUACUUCAGGUACUGGUAGAAUGAUAUGAGAACUAAGAUCACUUUCACUUUUGAAUUUAUUCAAAUUCAACCAAUGCUGAAAUUUAAAUUUUUAAAUUUCCUAUAUACAAUAAUUCAAAAUCUAUACUUAAAGAGAUUUUGACUUUUUUCAAAUUUAUUAGCAGUAAAACUCUGAUUCUUUACUUUUGUCUUUUAGAAAAAGUUAAGAUUUUUUAAUAUCAUCAUUGUGUCAGUGUCUUCAGUUCUCUACCCAGUGACUGAAUAAUACUUUGA